GACGAACGCUGGCGGCGUGCUUAACACAUGCAAGUCGAACGGAAAGGCCCUGCUUUUGUGGGGUGCUCGAGUGGCGAACGGGUGAGUAACACGUGAGUAACCUGCCCUUGACUUUGGGAUAACUUCAGGAAACUGGGGCUAAUACCGGAUAGGAGCUCCUGCUGCAUGGUGGGGGUUGGAACGUUUCGGCGGUUGGGGAUGGACUCGCGGCUUAUCGGCUUGUUGGUGGGGUAGUGGCUGACCAAGGGUUUGACGGGUAGCCGGCCUGAGAGGGUGACCGGCCACAUUGGGACUGAGGUACGGACCAGACUGCUACGGGAGGCAGCAGUGGGGAAUAUUGCACAAUGGGCGCGAGCCUGAUGCAGCAGCGCCGCGUGCGGGAUGACGGCCUUCGGGUUGUAAACCGCUUUCGCCUGUGACGAAGCGUGUGUGACGGUAAUGGGUAAAGAAGCACCGGCUAACUACGUG
RNAcentral lists this ribosomal RNA (468 nucleotides) under uncultured bacterium. RNAcentral's name for it is "partial 16S ribosomal RNA". It matches the Rfam family "Bacterial small subunit ribosomal RNA", at positions 28 to 507 of the family's 1533-position model. The record is from RNAcentral.